AGGUCAUCUUGCCAGAUCGACUAGAGGACCGGAUCCGGGUUGCGCAGGCGAACAAACGGCGAGCACAACGGCAAGCUGCUGCUGCUGGGAGCCCCGACCAAUCCCCUUCUCAGGCCCCCUCCCCUUCUGUCGCCCAAUCCCCCUCUCCUUCCCAGUCCCCUUCUCAGCCCCCCUCCCCUUCUGUCACCCAAUCCCCCUCUCCUUCCCAGUCCCCUUCUCAGGCCCCCUCCCCUUCUGUCGACCAAUCCCUCUCUCCUUCCCAGUCCCCUUCUCAGGCCCCCUCCCCUUCUGUCGCCCAAUCCCCCUCUCCUUCCCAGUCCCCUUCUCAGCCCCCCUCCCCUUCUGUCGCCCAAUCCCCCUCUCCUUCCCAGUCCCCUUCUCAGCCCCCCUCCCCUUCUGUCGCCCAAUCCCCCUCUCCUUCCCAGUCCCCUUCUCAGCCCCCCUCCCCCUCUCUUUACCAAUACCCAUCUCUGUCCCCCUCCCCCUCUGAAGGCCAAACAACCACUCCGGCCACCUCCCCCUCUCUUUCCCAGUCCCCCUCUCUGGCCCCCUCCCCCUCUGUUGCACAAACACCCUCUCCGCCCCCCCUCCCCCUCUCAAUCAGACCCACCCUCUGAAAACAGCUCCCCAAUCCCUCCUCCUUCCCCAAUCCAGCCUCCUUCCCCAAUCCAGCCUCCUUCCCCAAUCCAGCCUCCUACCCCCAUCCAGCCUACUUCCCCCAUCCAGCCGCCUUCCCCACCCAGUGAAUGGGCAGCAGAAGCCCCAGCGAAGAUUCCGGGGAGUCCGCAUGUGGCAGAUGAGAAUGGUGCAGUUCGAGAUCCCACAAGCCUGCCUGGCAUCCUGGCAAGCUUAAAGGCCCAUUUGCAGGCCAUGAUGGCCGAUGUGGAUAGCCUACAAAAAUUUUGUAAAAUUUUUCUAUUUUAUUUAAAAUUAUGUUACAAU
Molecule: long non-coding RNA, 942 nt
Organism: Pseudophryne corroboree (corroboree frog)
Lineage: Eukaryota; Metazoa; Chordata; Amphibia; Anura; Myobatrachidae
Exons: 3
Source: RefSeq, a predicted model, not a curated record